GGGGGCGAUCGGUUUCGACGUGGGGACUGAAGGACAAUUUGCGUGUGAUGGCGCCCGAUCCAUCUCUAAGCGGGCCGUUACUAAUUGCGAACGACAACGCGAUCGCCAUGGCUGCCUGAAAAACAGCCUAGCCGUCCGAGGGUGAGAUUGUCUUGGUAACCUAAGGGCGUCACUACAAAGACUGGGUCACGCGAGAGCGCUCUCGAUAGCGUGACCGAGAUCAGUGAGAGCUAGGUCGUGGCCGAAUCCACGAACCGUGUCUCAGAGGUUCUGAGGCUACGCACGUGAACGAAGGUUGUUUGGAUGCCUUGCGGACCGGGGUUCGAUUCCCCGCGCCUCCACCA
This 344-nucleotide transfer-messenger RNA is filed under the name Polyangiaceae. RNAcentral's name for it is "JAHBVY01 sp020430865 Standard tmRNA". It matches the Rfam family "transfer-messenger RNA". Rfam says of the family: Bacterial tmRNA, also known as 10Sa RNA or SsrA, is named for its dual tRNA and mRNA-like properties. Its role is to liberate the mRNA from a stalled ribosome. Lineage: Bacteria; Pseudomonadati; Myxococcota; Polyangiales. The record is from RNAcentral. RNAcentral also lists the same sequence under 1 other name.